UACGUAUGGAGCAAGCGUUAUCCGGAUUUACUGGGUGUAAAGGGAGCGCAGGCGGCUUUGCGAGUCUGAUGUGAGAGGCCGGGGCUCAACCCCGGGACUGCAUUGGAAACUGUAAAGCUAGAGUGCCGGAGAGGUAAGCGGAAUUCCUAGUGUAGCGGUGAAAUGCGUAGAUAUUAGGAGGAACACCAGUGGCGAAGGCGGCUUACUGGACGGCAACUGACGCUGAGGCUCGAAAGCGUGGGGAGCAAACAGG
This 253-nucleotide ribosomal RNA is filed under the name uncultured bacterium. RNAcentral's name for it is "partial 16S ribosomal RNA". It matches the Rfam family "Bacterial small subunit ribosomal RNA", at positions 524 to 776 of the family's 1533-position model. The record is from RNAcentral.